UAGCGGAUGAUCCCCAAGUUGGACCCAAGACGUCUUCAUCUUGAAAAUAGUGAUGAAGAGGUCGGGAUGUUCUUAUCGAAUGAAGAUUAGUUUCUUUUCUUUUUAUAGUUUCUUUUGAUGUUUUCUUUUUGAUAACUUUUGUAAUAAACUUUAAUUAAUGAAAAAUAUAUUUUUAUUAUAUUUACCUUCCAAACAAAGCUCUUUGUUUCUUCUUAGUGCCUAUGUUGAUUAACUUG
This 236-nucleotide long non-coding RNA is filed under the name Elaeis guineensis (African oil palm). Its description in RNAcentral is "long non-coding RNA (EGUI_LNC029329)". Lineage: Eukaryota; Viridiplantae; Streptophyta; Magnoliopsida; Arecales; Arecaceae. The record is from RNAcentral.